RNAcentral lists this ribosomal RNA (520 nucleotides) under uncultured Glomeromycotina. Its description in RNAcentral is "SSU rRNA". It matches the Rfam family "Eukaryotic small subunit ribosomal RNA", at positions 569 to 1090 of the family's 1831-position model. Lineage: Eukaryota; Fungi; Glomeromycota. The record is from RNAcentral.
AGCAGCCGCGGUAAUUCCAGCUCCAAUAGCGUAUAUUAAAGUUGUUGCAGUUAAAAAGCUCGUAGUUGAAUUUCGGGGUUAGUAGGUUGGUCGUGCCACUGGUAUGUACUGGUUCUACUGAUCCCUCCUUCUUGUAGAACCGUAAUGCCAUUCACUUGGUGUUGCGGGGAAACAGGACUGUUACUUUGAAAAAAUUAGAGUGUUUAAAGCAGGCUAACGCUUGAAUACAUUAGCAUGGAAUAAUGAAAUAGGACGUUCGAUCCUAUUUUGUUGGUUUCUAGGAUUGACGUAAUGAUUAAUAGGGAUAGUUGGGGGCAUUAGUAUUCAAUUGUCAGAGGUGAAAUUCUUGGAUUUAUUGAAGACUGACUACUGCGAAAGCAUUUGCCAAGGAUGUUUUCAUUAAUCAAGACGAAAGUUAGGGGAUCGAAGACGAUCAGAUACCGUCGUAGUCUUAACCAUAAACUAUGCCGACUAGGGAUCGGAUGAUGUUAAUUUUUUAAUGUACUCAUUCGGCGCCUUA